Long non-coding RNA from Ictalurus punctatus (channel catfish), 14025 nucleotides. The record is from Ensembl. Lineage: Eukaryota; Metazoa; Chordata; Actinopteri; Siluriformes; Ictaluridae.
AAAAGUUUUUGUCCGUGACCAUAUGGAUCAGCACAGCAACAUCCAAUCCAAAUAAAUCAGAACUAAGAGACUUCUCAGUCAUGUUGCCUAACAAUUCUUACACUACCGUUCAGAUUUUCCAGCCUCUGCAAGUGUUUUGGGAGUGUGACCUCAGAAGGAACACUGAUGACAGACACUUUAUUUUCUUUUUAUCUUGAAUUUCCAAGCAGCUAGCUAUUUCAGCUAACCUUUGCCAAAAUCUAUUAAAUAGACCAGACCAGAAAUAGACCAGAAAGCACCAUUUUGGUUUAGUUUAAAGAAGAAUAAAUCUGAAAAUUGGUUGGUGAGAUUACAGAAAAUACAGCACACCUAGAUGUCAUUUAUAUAUAAUUCAGCAUGCUGUAUGUACUGUAUGGCUCUAAAGGGGGAAAUCUGUGCUUGUUUGAGUAGGCAUACAAAUCCAAUGCAGUAAAUCACAGUGCGGGUUCACGACAGCAGCUUGCUGAGAGCUGUAUAUAAGUCAUUACACAAUAAGCGCACAGUACAUGACAACUGCUUUGCCUUGGGGAGUUAUGAUAAGGAGUCUUAGCGAUGAGCCUAAACCAUCUAUCCUGUUCAAUGCAUGAGUGGCAUUCCUGAGCAGUGUGUGUGGUGAGAUGUAAAAGCACACUGAUGUUUUGAAAGGGUUUCAUCAACAUGUGAAGCAGGAAUACACACAAUGUGUCCAUUCUAAAUCAACUAUUAGAAUGUGAUUAGCAUGUUCAAUCAGGUACAGUCAUGAAAAGAGGUCAAUUCUAGACCUUAAAGACAUCAGCUGAGGUCAAAAGUUUAGCCUCAAGAGUGAAUGCAGAGGUCAGAGUAUAGGGAAGGCCUAUACGUCUGCGCACCAUUACUCAUGAUCCUGACAGCUUGUCAGUGAACCAGCGUUUCUGGUUAGAGCAGCGUCUUAGAGGUUCAGUUAACACCUCUAUGGGGAUGGCGAAGGUGAAGCAGCGGUGCAUAAAUUAACCAACCCCACGACACCGCAUAAAAGGGGCUUAUGUAAAAAUGGCUGACACACAUAAUUUUUUUCACAAUCCAGAAAGGACAGAUGACAGAUGUAAGUGAUGACAAUGAGAUUUGCAGCUUAGUUUAAGUUAGAAAAAAAUAAUGUUAACUGAAGCACAGUUUUUUUCAGAUUGCAUCCAUGAACAAGAACGAUUGCCUGCCAACACACACACACACACACACACACACACACACACACACACACACACACACACACAGGAUCAAUGCCUUGGUAAUUUGUUUCGAUCAAUUAAGGAGACAUCUGCUAGCAUUUAACCACAAUAACAGCCAAUCCCUUCUAUAUGAGGGAGCGAGAGACUGAGAGAGAGACAUACAGAUAAUUACAUAGAAUCAAAGCUUAGUGGACCAUCACAGAUGGACUUAUUAUUACUGACUAUAAUUUUUUUUCUUUUAGCUCUGCUGAGGGCAUUUUGCUGAGUGAGACAGCCAGAGCUUAUUGACACCAUAACUUUUUACUAGUUUUCUUCGACUGGUGUUUCACCUUUUAUAGUUCAUUCGUCUGUCUACAGCUAGCAGGAAGUGCUUCCCAUUUAACCAGUAUGCACAGACCUUCCACACCACUGAAUGGACAUGUUUCCUCAACAUUAACACUGUAGAUUAAUUAACAUUCACUAAAGAUGUAAACCUGGAGGAAGUCAUUAAAAGAUCAAGGGCACUAGAGUGUAGGGUUCUAGGGUUCGCCAUCCUCAUUUGGUUGGCAAGCAAGAGACCAGCCUGUAACAGCGAAUUGCAACUUAUUACUUAUUAAUACUCAACCGCAAAGAAGUGGCACAAUGCUUUGUUAUUACAAAUUAUUAAUACUGCUAUUAAUGUGUUAUUACAUAAUUCUAGAAAGAUUCAUGGGAGAGAAACAUCCCAAUGCAUUCUGUAUUGUCAAUCAUAAGCAUAUGCAGGGAAAGCAUCUGUCUUUUAAAUGACUCCAUAUUCAUCUCUUUCCAUCAUGCAUGCACACAUCAUAAUAUUACUGCAAAGAUUAAGUUGGGGACAGGAAAAUAUAAACAUCAUGACUAUAGAAAAGGAUAGCAAAUAGCAAUUAUGUUUGGGCACAUCUUGCUGACAUGUUCAGAAUGCCUGUGGGGAUAGAAUUUUUUUUUAUGUAUAAAAUAAAAUAUCUAAUAUAACUUGUAGAAAACAUUGAUAGAAGAUUGUAGUUGUGAGAGUCUAUACACAAUCUGGUUCAUGUGUCUAUUUGAAGGCCUGUACAGGUGAAACACUGUAUUUCCUAUCUCACUUACUCACUCACUCAUUCACACACUCACACACUUAUUUGAACACUUUAGUAGUGCAUACUCAAGUACAUUCCAGCACUGAACUGCAGGGUUUACAUCUUAAUUUAUUUCACUGGUCGAACAAUAGAGGACUUUACUGAUACUGAUAACUAAGUUGGGCAAUACCUGCUGAUAAUGGAUUAAUCAACUGAUAAAAAUAUAACACUCAAAGUAAAAUAUUGCUGAACUUUAUUACAAAAAUAAACAGUACUGAAUGCACCAUGAAAAUGGACUGUACCUUUUGAAAUGAAAUAAAUAUAUAAAUACUAACGCAUGGUGGCUUAGUAGAUAGCACGUUCACCGCCAGGGUCGGGGUUCGAUUCCCGUGGCUCUGUGGGUGCGGAGUUUGCACGUUCUUCCCGUGCUGCAGGGGUUUCUUCCGGGUACUCCGGUUUCCUCCCUCAGUCCAAAGACAUGCAUGGUAGGUUGAUUGGUAUGUCUAAAGUGUCCGUAGAGUAUGAAUGGGUAUGUGAGUGUGUAUGUGAUUGUGUGCCCUGCGAUGGAUUGGCACCCUGUCCAGGGUGUACCCUGCUUUGUGCCUGAUGCUCCCUGGGAUAGGCUCCAGGUUCCCCGUUACCUUGAAAAGGAUAAGAGGUAUAGAAGAUGGAUGGAUAAAAAAUAUACACCAAAUUUUUACCAAAAAGUAACACUCCAAAUAGCAAAUAAAAUAGAGACAUUCAAAAUGAAUAAUAAUAAAAAAAAAACACUUCAAAUAACACAACAAAAUUUGUCAGUGAUAGUUUUUAUUUCGCCUGUAGAGGCCACUCUCAUACUGUAUAAUGACAGCCUCUCCAGCAAAGGAUGCAACCUUGAAAAACUUUGGGUGUGGAUUUUCGCAGAUUACCGAUAGUUCCAACAAUUAGUCGACCUCUAACUUAUUUAGCACAUUCUCUUAUCCCAGGUGACUUAACACAAUAUGAGCCAGCAGUGAUACAAGUGCUAUAAAUCUUUCACACCUGACCUGAAACUCUAAACCUUAGGUCUGGGCUCAACUGGGAUCACUGCAGGUUUGUUUUUACAAACCUGAUCAUUUGCCAAUUUUUGUAAGUUGCAAAAUGGAUGCCAAUGAGUGCAUCACAUUUUUUUGUUCCAAUUAAUUUUUAGAAUUUAAUUAAUAUAUGAUAUAUUAUUUCCUUUAAUCUUUUUACUCUUUAGCCAAAGAUUAUUUGAACUGGGAAUUAGCAUACGUUGAAAUAAUCAUGUUAUUCAGUAACCCAUCUCAGGAUGAUACAAACAAGCUGUGGUUCUCUAGAAGCAAGACAACUGAUUUACAAUUGACCACAAAUCAGUUUCCUUGUUGAAAAAGAAAUUUCACCGAGAAUAUACCACUCUUUCAAUACAGCAUUGAAUAAGGAGAAAGUUGCAUCUAAACCUGUACAUUUAUUUACACUUUGCAUUUAUUUAUUAACACUAAAUGAACCCCAGACCACAGUAUUUUAUGUAAAAUGAAAAAUUCUAAAUGCACUUCAACAAAAAAGUGCGAAAAAAAAUCCUCUGGUGCAAACUAAAUGGGUUAGUAUUAAAACACCCCAGAUGUCUGACAAUUGAAGCAAAAAUGAUGUCUCAAAGUUAUAGAAAGAACAGAGACUGAAAGAGAGCGAGAGAGAGAGAAAACAGAGCAUGGAAUACGCUGGAAUAUGUGCUAGUGCCCAAGAGUGCCAGAGAUAAGAUCUAGACAGAAUCUUCCAAAUUGAAGAAGACUAAAUUAUCUGCCAAUAAUAUGAUGUACAUGAUAUUGAAACAUAAUCCAAAGCAGGUUCUUUGGAAUAGGCUGAAUAAAGCCUGAAGUGGUGCUGAGAGCCUUGGUAAAGUUCCAGGAUGAUCAAUGCUGCGAGUAAAACAGUCACACUCAGUGAUCUCCAUGUGAACUGCUUAAGGAAUGAAACAUUAAUGGGGGACUGGGUCCAGAUUCAGAUAUAGAGAGAGCGACAGAAAGACUGAUGUGCAUUAUUUUAUGUGGACACUCAAGAGAGAAGGUGAGCAGAAGGUCAAGGAGAUGAGUCAUAACCACAAAAAGGACACCAACAAGAGAUGAGGAAGAGAGGGGGGGGGAGUGUGUGUAUGUGUAAUGUAUACUCAUUACCUCAGUACAUAUACUUACUGCAGGUCUGUGUAGAAAUGGAACAGAGCACCUCUGAGGUUUAAUAGUAAAGAGAUCAAACACUGUGGCACUGAGGUCAUCAGCAGAAAGGGGAAUAAAAAAUUAAUUAAGGAAUAUCACUUAGAUUUCAAAGAUAUCCAACAUUUCAAAUUUAGAUAUCAAAUUUUUCCAAGAAUUUAAUUGAAUAGUACACACAUUGACUCACACAUACACACACACAGAGAGAGAGAGAGAGAGAGAGAGAGAGAGAGAGGUAACUGAUGCUCUUCACUACUUUUUGAAAGUAUUAAAUCUUACCUAAGCGUCUGACAGAAACUGAUCCAAACACUUUCUAAAGAUAUUGCUUGAUUCAUGGUAUACGUUUAUAAUAAAAUAAAACCAGAUUGUGACAUAUUGUGAAUGUAAAGUUCGGCUUUAUUCUGGCUGUUGCUGUCAUUACAAUCAGCUUGCACUCUAAAUCAUCUCUCAUUUAUGGAUUAUGGGAAAUAAUACAAAAGCUGGUGGGGAAUUUAUUUAUUUAUAUUUUUUUUAAUUCAAGUGUAUCUUUUCCAUGAGUCGCAAAAAUUAUUUAGAAAUGCUAUACAUGCACUUUUGGACCUGGGUUGUCAUAGAUCACAUUUUUUUUCACCCAUUCCUUUGCAAUGCACUUUUUAUUACACCAAUAUUAUGCUCAUCCACACUGACAGCUUGUUCCAUAGCAGAGAUGUCCUUGUUGUGUAUAUAUGAGAGAGGGUGGGAGGGAGAGAGAGAGAGAGAGAGAGAGAGAGAGAGAGAGAGAUGUUCUGAUAGGUAUGCAGUAGAUGCAAAAGUGUAGUUUUUUUUUCCUGUUUGAGUUCCUCCUUUUCUGCUUUUUUCUCCAUGUUGGUGCUGCUCAUUGAACUGCACUUGUGUGUGUGUGUGUGUGCGUGUGUGUGUGUGUGUGUGUGUGUGUGUGUGUGUGUGUGUGUGUGUGUGUGUGUGUGUGUGUAUGUGUGUGUGUGUGUUAUGGACCAGUCAAUGAUAUAUACAAUACAUAGUUUGGUAUUUAAUAUUUUAUCCCACCUCAUUAAAGAGUUUACCAUAUGACGCUGCAGUAACAAAUAGAAUUAAAGUGAAUACAAUGAAAUAAAAAAAGUCACAGUGCAGUAGAGGAGCUCCCCAGGAAUCUCAUUUCAGACUGUACAAGACAAACAAUGCAACCUCUAGUAAAUCACUAUUAAGCAAGAUUACAAAGAGACACAGUACAAAUUUUAAAUCUUCACCAGUUUAAGAGUGUUGUCUCUGAAUAUUUUACUAAGACAGAGAGAGAGAAAAAGAGAGACAGAGUGAGAGCAUGGUGAUCACAAACACAGUAGAGAGAAAAAUGCUUGUGAUUUAUUUAAAUAUUGUUACAAUGUGAUUUAAAAGAUUUAAUGAAAAACUUUGAUUUGGGAAAUUAAACAAGUGAAAUUAAAGAUCAAGAAUUUGAGAUGCCAAUAAUCACUAUAUAACCUUUACAGUUUAAAAUUAUGAUAAUUAGGUAGGAUAAGCUUGUGUAACAUCACAAAAUAUAACAAGCAAAAGAGCACAGGCAACACAAAAUAUACUGACUAUUUUUAAAGUACCCCUUCCCUUUUUUUUCCCCCUGUCACACUGGACAUUCUGGGCCUCUUUACUUUCUGUAGAGGAGAACACAUGGAUGAGCGUUAGGACUAUUGUUACUGUCGCACUUUGCCUGGAUCAGCCAAUCAGGGGCUGAAAGAGUGCUGAGUAAGGGCUGAACGCUCACGUCCAAAUGCAGGGGUGAGCGGAAAGGAGCUGCAAAUGCACUGCAGCAUGGUUAACACCUCUCAACAAAACCACACAACUCCAGUCCCAGGCUUGAGUGCAUGUGAUUUGCCUAAUCAGGGCCCUUAAAAUGUCUAAUGACUUCUUUUUUGCUCUGUAGGAAUCUAAACUAGAAAUAAACAAUAAAAUAAAAACAAUAAUAAAUAAAUAAGAGCCUAGUUAAUCAUAGGCAUACACUAAAGUUUACAAGCAGGUCAGAAGUCAGUGUAAUAAAUAGCAGGUAUUGAAUGAGGACGAUUAGCAAGCUGGCUGAUUGUAACAAAUACCAUGGCUAUAUGCAGUUACUACACAAUAACUGGAAUCCUGACAUGGACUAUGGCAUUAUAUAUCAUUCUGUUAACACCUUUAAUGUUUGGUAAUAAACUACAUAAAAGCAAGUAAAACAUAGUUUAUAAUGAUGGAUUACUGAUUCAUUACUUAACAAUUAAUUAAUAAUUAAGCAUCAAUAAUUAUUCAAUAAUUAUUGUAAGUUUAAAAUAGAUUUUAUAUAAUGUAGUUAUAUUUCAGUAUAAGUUUUAUUUUACAUUUGCUCAUUUAUUGGUAAAUUUAAUUCUUAGACUCAACCUAGUCACUGACCUGCACAGUUGCAUGCUUCCUCUGCUCCUAACACUCCUCAACUUCCUAAUAAUGAGCUGAAGAGCCCUUUAUGAGUUAUGAGGAUCAGGUGUGUCAGGAGCAGAGGAAAACCUUAUUCUUUGCAAGGAAGUGUGUCCCUGGAAGUCCCUGCCAACAUUUCAAAUAUUUUUUUUGAAAGACUUAAUUCACAUAUUUACUAACGUUUGCUUAUAUAUUGUAUUAAGAACAUAGGUGUGAGAUAAAUUAGUUAACCACAUAUUACUCAACUGUAAAUAAUUAAUUACCAUAAUUCUAUUAGCUCCAACAGUGAACAUAUGACAGGAAAAACUACUGUGGUUGAUCAAAUUCAAUGUAAUUGAAUUUAUUUCAAAUAAACUUGAAAUGAUGACCACUAGCUUAUUGUUUGAAAGGUAAAGUGAAACUGCCAACAGUGUUGUGGAUGGUGUGGACCAACAACAUCCAACCAAUCAGGAUAAAGUAUAUAAAGUGUCUUUAUAUACUUGUCAAUCAUAUUAUAAAUUAAUUAAAAAAUGCUCAAUCUCAGACACCCUGUGUGGUUGUUUGGCUGUUUGUGCUGUAAUUCUAUACCUAGAGCUCCUCCUGGGUUUGCAUAAAUGUAUUUUUACUGAAUUUGCAGUAUUAGGACUGGAAGCUUCACUAUGUUUCUAUAUUUUACCAGAACUCAUGCUCAAGCCCAUACCGCUUGAUUUAUUAAAUAUGCAUUCACAGGAAUUAUUCUGUGUUUCUUCAUUUCUUUUAUCAUUAUCUUAAAAAUGAAUGAAUCAAUCUAUACUCCCUGGAAUAAAUGCUUGCUUUAUGUGUCUACUGCUCUGAAAUUAUGUUAAAUCUCUGUCAGUGCUUGGUGUGAGGGUCAGAUCUGUAGCACUGUCAUGGCAAAGAAGGCAUGGUGAUAGGAGCGAGAGGCUAAAAGCAGUGACAGGAUGAAACUGAUAGCUGAACAGGUGUCGCUCUUUGACCAUUCCCCUGAGCACACAUGUGUUUGUGAGUGUGUGUGUGUGUGUGUGUGUGUGUGUGUGUGUGUGUGUGUGUGUGUGUGUGUGUGUGUGUGUGUGUGUGUGUGUUGGGAGUUGUGGGCAUGUCAGUCACACCACAAACUGACAUGCACUAAGAAAUAUCCAGAUAAGGAGAGAGAGAGAGAGAGAGAGAGAGAGAGAGAGAGAGAGAGAGAGAGAGAGAUGACAGGAGAGAAGGAGGGAAGGAGGGACUACAGGACCAAAGAUGAAUAACAAUCAUUAAGGAGAAAAAUGGAGGACACAAAAAAAGUUGUGUGGUGAAAAUUAAGGGAAAAGUGACAUAAUAAAUGCAGAUAGAAGAACAAUGCCUUCCCUGACUUUGAAAGCAAAAUGAUGGCCUUGAAUAGUUCAGAGCUUGGAUUAUGUCAAACUCCAUAGUUAUUCACAGGAAACCAUUCUCAGCUGUCCAGCCCCAUAUAUCACCUGAACAUUGCAAGCCUAGUUCCCGCAUUCUUGUGUACACUCACACACGCCUCAGCUGUCCUAAAACGUGACUGAAGAGAUAAGGAAUGGAAUGUGACAGGGACACACAUCCUCAGAAUAGACCAGGGUAUGCCAUCUCUCCUGAUGAUACAAAACAUGCACCCACAUUACACAUUGAAACAUUCACACCCGCUCUCAAAUCUUCUACUAUCACUAAAAUGACAAACUUUGUACUCAUACCUAGAAGAAAGCACUCACAAUGCUUAUACACAUAACUACCCCGUCCUCCUGUAAGUUGAAUUGCUUCUGCACUUUAGUGUUUCAGCCUUAAAUCUCUGUUCUAAAACAUUAUUUUUAAAAUUAUUUGUAAAUGUACAUAUUAUUUAUUAAUUCCAAACCAACCAAAUGCUAUCAUUCCUGCUCCAUUGCAUGCACCAAGACACGAAAAGCCAGGGCUGUGAUUUCAGAGAGGCCUCUAGGGUAUAGCUUUGGUGUGGCUAUUUGUCCAUAGAGGAGACUUUGGGGAAUGAGAGGCCGUGCUGGAACAGAGUGUGAUUCACUGAUCUGUUAUUCAGUUCCCUGCAGUGAGUGCUCUUCCCCUUGUAACAUACCCUCUCAGCACAUUGCGGCCUUACACUGGUUAGCUGAUCACUAAUUAACAAAUGGUUUGUCACCACAUUCAUUGAAAUGAUGCAUAUACAGACCAGGUAGAAAAAGAAAAUCAAUAUAUUUAAACUAUACUAUUUUUAACACAAACAACAGUGCUACACCUGGAGUAGAGGGAGGAGAAAAAUAUAAACAGGAAAAAAUACAGUAGCUUUCUUGUAACUCCACCUUCCUCUUCCUCAUAUCCUAUUUUAUCCAAUACACCCACAGUAAAUCCCCAACAUCCAUCUACUACUGUCUCUCUACUGAGAUUUGUAUUAAGCUCCUAAGAAGCAUGAAGGUACACUCUCCUUUUAGGUUCUUUCCACUCUCACGUCUUCCUGCAUAGCACAUCGCAGUGGUGCAGUCAUCACACACACACACAGCAAGGUGUCAGCAUUGUCCGUUGUCGUUCAUUCUGUUCUGUCUCCAUCACAGGGUUUAUUUUUAAAAGGACGGGAGGAGGUCAACAACAAAGUCACAGCCACUCAAGUAUUUUAAGAGCCGACUAAGAUGUAGUGUGUGUGUGUGUGUGAGAGAGAGAGAGAGAGAGAGAGAGAGAGAGAGAGAGAGAGAGAGGUGAAAGUACUAGUAGUUGCAUUAUGGCUGUGCUCUGUUCUAUUUAUUAGACCCUCCCCCAUCCAUACUAUUAAGCCCAGCCCACAUACCAAAUGCAGACACCCAGUGCAGCUUAAAAUGCAGCCUCUUUCUCUCAUCUUUUUCACACAUGCACACACACACAGACACACACACACACACGCACACACACUGUGAUCAACUUUGCUAAUGGCAAAAUGAUUAGCUUAUGCUAACUUAAAAGUGAGACCCUCAAGGGCAAAUCUAACAUGUUGAGCUAAAUAAAAUGGAUUGUUAGAAGCUUGCUUAUGAAAAUAAAGGAUUGCAGGCCGAAGCACAAAUCUGAGAGAGAAAAUGAGAGAGCGAAGACCAUGGGACUAUAGGUUGGUGUCUGUUAAUUCUGCCCGCACUUUAUUAGUGGUAUUGACAAGUCUGUGAUAAAUUCAUUGUUUUCUCAAGUUUGUCUGAAGCCGUUGUUUCUAGAUCCUUUUACUUAAAGACUUUGCUCAGAUGCUUUCAAUUUACAGGAUGCGCUCAAUCUCCAUGGGCUUCCGCAAACACACACACACACACAUAUUGAAACAUUACACAUGCACCAGCUUUAUGCAAUUGUAAUCUUAAUAUAACUACUUUGCACUGAAGAGUUUGGUUUGUUCCUCAUGCUUACCCAGUGAUAUACAGUGGGGGAAAUAAGUAUUGGACGCGUCAACAUUUUUUUCAGUAAAUAUAUUUUCAAUGAGGCCAUUCACAUGAAAUUUUCACCAGACAUCAGUAUUAACUCAAGAAAUCGGGAAAUAUAAAUAAUUUACAAUAUUAAAGUCCAUAAAUAAAGUUGAAUGACAGGAAAAAAGUAUUGAACACUGAAAUUUAUUUAAUACUUAUUGGAGAAACCUUUGUUUAUAAUGACAGCUUCAAGAUGCUUCCUAUAUGAAGAAAUUAAUCGGCCGCAGUAUUUACGUGUGAUUUUCUUCCCAUUCUUCUAAACAUAUUGUCUUUAAAUCUUGUUCCAUUGGAUUUAAGUCAAGUUAUUGACUGGGUCAUUGUACCGCCUUGAUUUUUUUUUCUCUGAAACCAAUUGAGAGUUUCCUUUGCUUUAUGCUUUGGAUCGUUGUCCUGCUUGAAGGUCCACCCACGAUUCAUUUUCAUCAUCCUAGUAGAUGGCAGCAGAUUCUUCUCAAGAAUCUCCUGGUAAAGGGCUCCAUUCAUCAUUCCUUCAAUUAUAUGAAGUCUGUCAGUACCAUGCGAUGAAAAACAGCCCCACACCAUGAUGCUUCCACCUCCAAACUUCACUGUUGCUAUAGUGUUUUUAAGGUGAUGUGCAGGACCAUUUCUUCUCCAAACAUGGUGUGUAGUAUGACAGCCAAAAAGUUACAUUUUGCUCUCGUCUGAGCAGACUACUCUGUCCCAGUAAUUCACAGGCUUGUCCAAAUGAGUUGUAGCAAACCUUAAACGAGCUUCGACAUGCCUUUUCUUUAUCAAUGGAGGCUUGCAGGGUGAGCAUGAGCAGUCGAGUGCAUUGCCUAUUGUUUUCUCUGUGAUGAUGGCAUCCAAAACAAAUGUAGACUGGAUUAGCAUGGUCCUGUGACUGUUCACAAAGCUUUGCAAGAGUAAAGAGCUGAUCUACUGUUCCAUGGCCUGACAGAACCUCUCAUAUCCUAGGUACAACUACUGGGAGGCCAAAGAGGGUGAUUCCCCUAUAAUUAGAAGACACUCCCUGUACCACAAUUCUGACUGUGGAUGUGAGCUCCAGCACUACUGUCCCCCUCAUCACAGAAUGCUUUGCUAAAGCUGGUAAAAUGGAACCAAAUCAACUGUUCUAUGGAUUUGGUCCCCUUCAACCAGCUGUAGCUGUGCAUUGAUCACCCCAGAGUGCAGUAAGAUAGACAAAGAAGAUCUGGGAGCACACAAACACAUACUAACACUCUACAGGAUUCACCUUACAACUAUAUACCAUAUCAGACAGGAUCUGAGCAUCAUAUGGAUUUCCUGAUCCAGCUAGAACACCAACCUGAUGCAUUUCACCCCACACUUUAUGAUCUCUAAUAACAUGAUUAAAUACUGUGAGGUUACUAAAACCCAGGUGAACAUUAGCCAUGUCAUGCUGUUCAACUCUUUAUGACUGAUAAUAUCUGAUUAUGAAUCCAGUCCUGACUGCAGUCAGUGGAAUAGGGGUUUGCUGAGUUUUAUGGCUGCCCAUUGAUUUCUUGUCUUGCUGGUGAAAGAGAGAGAUGUGGAGGGACAGGACAGGAGAGAGGAAUGCACGUCAGGCUGCUGAAUAAGUAAAGCAAUCGUUCCUUUUUUCCUGUUUUUUUUUUUCCCUUCACAUUCGUCGUGAUCCUUAAUGCUUGUUUCUGAUCAAUAAAAGCUCAUCCUGAGGUCCAUAAAUGCUAAAGUGGGUGUUUUUUUUUUAAUGCCAGCUUCUUGGUGGAAGGAGGAAGGUCAAAGUGAAGGGAAAUUGUGAGGAAGAAAAGGAAAAGAAGGGAAGAUGGAUGUUUGUAUGGAGGACAGGAGCUGGCAGAUGACAUGACAGUGCUUUUGAAUAGUGAAAAAGAGAAUGGGUAACAUGAUGCCUCACACUAUCCUAUAUUCUAGCAUAGGCUUGUUACAGGAAUUGAAUAUUAGAUACAUUUCUAGUAUUCAAAUAACUAAUUAAAACAGCACCAACCAAAUAUCAAGCAAAAUUCAACUUCUAAUCCUUAUUAUUAUUGAAGCCUUAAGCAUUUGUAACAGUAAGGAAUUUUAAGUCAUGACAUCCCAAGGCCUCUAUUUUCACACAGCAUAAUUUGCUGGUAUAACAGCAGGACAUAAUAUAUUUAGUUGGGCAGGAACUCUCUCUCUCUCUCUCUCUCUCUCUCUCUCUCUCUCUCUCUCUCUCUCUCUCUCUCUCUCUCUCUUUCAAGUUCUGCCCAGAAAUGAAUAUGGCUAUGCAGACUAUAUUGGGCAGCAUGAACAGUUGAAAUCUGCUGGUGAAGUGGGAUUUUCAAACUUACUUUGGUCCAGAACUGCUGGAAUUUCUGACUUAUAGCUCACAACCCAGUUUUGUGGCUGUACUCUGCUUCUAUCAACCUACAUUAAUGUAAAUAGGGUUCUUCAACCAACUAUUAAAUACUACUGAAUGGAUUAUUUUAAAGUGAUAAAUAAAAACAAACAACUGAGUUGUUGCUACUAAAUGUGAAUCAAACAGGUGUCCCCUUAUUGCACAUGGAACAUCAUAUAAUGAAUAGAUUUAAAAGAAUUACAUAACUAAGAGGUGGGGGAUUAGGGAGGUGAGGGAUUAGUCAAUCUAGAACUUUGUGAAAAGGCAGCUCUGCCUCAGAGGCAGGAGGAAAUUAAUUGGUUCAAACAGCCAGUUGGUGGAGUUUACUUUUCAAAACUUUGCAUUAAUUCCCUAGCUAGUUACAGUACUGCUCUUUGUUAGCUUGGCCUAUGACUUUUGAUUUUGCCUGUAUAAAAGGGGUUCCUAUUUAUAUGAUGUUGGCAAAAAUUAUUUUCCAUUUUCUGUUAGUGGUGUUAAAUUAGAAAACUGUUCAGAAAGCUGAUGUGGCCGCACAAGGGUAUAAACAAAGAGUAUAAACAAAAAGGACUGGAACAAUGACAGAACAUAAAAUAACCAAAAAAAAUAAGGAACACCACACCUCAAUAUGUUGACUAUGCCACCCAGGUAGCAGGCCCCUGGGGUGGCGUAGUCGACAUAGGCUUAAUCUAACAGCCACAGAACUCACAGGUUCGUUACAGUUAGAAAUAGGUAUAAGACAUAAGUAGAGUACAAAACAUUUUUAUUUACAGCAUCACCAGUUCUCGCUACACACAGAAGAAAAUGAAAACAAAAAGGCACAAAAAAACACAUACAACUUACACACGUACCACACCAGACUUGGGUCAGCACUCAUAAUCACCCACGACAAGGGUCACCUGUAAUCUCCUACUCAAAAGCACACCGCAACCACCUCUGAAUAUUCAACUGACACAGCACCCCAAAAUUGAGCACAGCAGUCAGUGAAGGAUACCACCACUAGAGGAGAGGAGAAAGCGCGGAGCUCGCUGACUUCGGCUGGCCAAUUCUGAAAAAAAUAAUAAUAAUACAAACAGUAUAAACCACUAGAACACACAAACAUCCAAGGAAACACACACUCUCCAAAAUGUUCCUCCUAAAAGUAGACCACAUUAUACAAAAAUGCACAUGGUCACAAGAAGACAAACAAAAAACAUAACCAAACAACCAGGCCCGUAAGCCAAAGUAGGCCGAUGUGCUGUGUGGCGGUAAUGGGCCGUAGUUAACACACUCAACAAACAAUUGCACCUAAAUUGCAACGAUAAAGAAAAUAUUCAAAACAAAUUCAAUCACAAAAGAAAAACAAUAAUAAAGAUAACACAAGAAAAAAAGACACCAAAUACAAAUAAAAUCAAAAAUAGCACAAGCUGCGACUGCUAAGCAAACAUGUACAUUUGUACAUUGUACAUGCACACUGCAUCAACACCAUCUGAAAAACAUAACAUGGAAACUACCAUGCAGCGAGCCGAAUUACCAACCCAGCCAAGUGAUAGAGAC